AUCUUAGUCAAGUUAAAUUAUGUUCAUGGAGUAACAUGCAUAAAAAAGUUAAAAUUUGCAUUAAAUUCUUAAAAAAAGAAGUAAUGUGUUAAACUGUUUUCUUCUUCUCUUAAUCUACUUUUGAAACAAAUAUAAUAAUGCUCAGGUUUGUACAAUCUAUGUUUUUAAUGUGAAAUCAUGUUCUUUCUUUUCAAUAUAAUGAUUUAUAAUACUGAAAACUUCAUUGUUUUUAAUCAAAGUCAAUGCAUGAUUGUUUAAUGCAAACUCUAACCUCUGAUUCAUGUUUU
Mytilus californianus (California mussel) is the source of this 287-nucleotide long non-coding RNA. RefSeq lists it as uncharacterized. The record is from RefSeq and is a predicted model, not a curated record. Lineage: Eukaryota; Metazoa; Mollusca; Bivalvia; Mytilida; Mytilidae. The transcript is spliced from 2 exons.